This 497-nucleotide ribosomal RNA is filed under the name uncultured bacterium. Its description in RNAcentral is "partial 16S ribosomal RNA". It matches the Rfam family "Bacterial small subunit ribosomal RNA", at positions 28 to 507 of the family's 1533-position model. The record is from RNAcentral.
GAUGAACGCUGGCGGCGUGCCUAAUACAUGCAAGUCGAGCGAACAGAUGAGGAGCUUGCUCCUCUGACGUUAGCGGCGGACGGGUGAGUAACACGUGGAUAACCUACCUAUAAGACUGGGAUAACUUCGGGAAACCGGAGCUAAUACCGGAUAAUAUAUUUAACCGCAUGGUUCAAUAGUGAAAGACGGUUUUGCUGUCACUUAUAGAUGGAUCCGCGCCGCAUUAGCUAGUUGGUAAGGUAACGGCUUACCAAGGCAACGAUGCGUAGCCGACCUGAGAGGGUGAUCGGCCACACUGGAACUGAGACACGGUCCAGACUCCUACGGGAGGCAGCAGUAGGGAAUCUUCCGCAAAGGGCGAAAGCCUGACGGAGCAACGCCGCGUGAGUGAUGAAGGUCUUCGGAUCGUAAAACUCUGUUAUUAGGGAAGAACAAAUGUGUAAGUAACUAUGCACGUCUUGACGGUACCUAAUCAGAAAGCCACGGCUAACUACGUG